UCUAGAACUCGAGAUAUGGGCUGAACACUAAGCAGUAUCUAGGUUGCAAGAUAGAUUUCAACUUCUCUUUUGUUGCUACAAUUUGAACUUGAAAAUAACCGUUUUAAAUCUUGGAAUCUUUAUGAAAAUUUUAGGCCUAUGUCUUAGCUUUCCAUC
Non-coding RNA from Populus trichocarpa (black cottonwood), 156 nucleotides. Lineage: Eukaryota; Viridiplantae; Streptophyta; Magnoliopsida; Malpighiales; Salicaceae. The record is from Rfam.